Molecule: ribosomal RNA, 253 nt
Filed under: uncultured bacterium
Lineage: Bacteria
Description: partial 16S ribosomal RNA
Rfam family: Bacterial small subunit ribosomal RNA
Source: RNAcentral
UACGUAGGGUGCGAGCGUUAAUCGGAAUUACUGGGCGUAAAGCGUGCGUAGGUGGUUCGUUGUGUCUGUGGUGAAAGCCCCGGGCUUAACCUGGGAACGGCCAUGGAAACUGGCGAGCUGGAGUGUGGCAGAGGGGGGUGGAAUUCCGCGUGUAGCAGUGAAAUGCGUAGAGAUGCGGAGGAACACCGAUGGCGAAGGCAGCCCCCUGGGCUAACACUGACGCUGAGGCACGAAAGCGUGGGGAGCAAACAGG